UACGUAGGGGGCAAGCGUUGUCCGGAUUUAUUGGGCGUAAAGAGCUCGUAGGCGGUUUGUCGCGUCUGCUGUGAAAAUCCAGGGCUUAACCCUGGACCUGCAGUGGGUACGGGCAGACUGGAGUGCGGUAGGGGAGAUCGGAAUUCCUGGUGUAGCGGUGAAAUGCGCAGAUAUCAGGAGGAACACCGGUGGCGAAGGCGGAUCUCUGGGCCGUAACUGACGCUGAGGAGCGAAAGCAUGGGGAGCGAACAGG
Molecule: ribosomal RNA, 253 nt
Filed under: uncultured bacterium
Lineage: Bacteria
Description: partial 16S ribosomal RNA
Rfam family: Bacterial small subunit ribosomal RNA
Source: RNAcentral